RNAcentral lists this long non-coding RNA (317 nucleotides) under Homo sapiens (human). RNAcentral's name for it is "HSALNT0168708". The record is from RNAcentral. Lineage: Eukaryota; Metazoa; Chordata; Mammalia; Primates; Hominidae.
UGGGACUGUACACAUAAAUGAAAACAAAUUUCUAAGCUUGAGUUUAAGACUGUAUCUAUAAAGAAUAUCCACAGAGAAGGUCAGGGAGUUCUUUCUAAAUACAGUAAUCAACUCUGCUUUUUCAAAUAAGGAAGAGUUUGUACUUCCAAUCUUCUACGGAGAAGAACUGCAAUGCUCAAACUCUUUUAAGUUUCCUUUGAGGCCUAACAAAACAAGAAGAUACUCAGCUAGAAGAUUCCUCUGUGAGGCUGCUAGUACUUCUCCAGCAGACCAAGCCAGGAGAGCUUUCUCAAAGAACACGGCGGCCUAGAGAGAGG